AACGAACGCUGGCGGCAUGCCUAACACAUGCAAGUCGAACGAGACCUUCGGGUCUAGUGGCGCACGGGUGCGUAACGCGUGGGAAUCUGCCCUUGGGUUCGGGAUAACAGUUGUUAACGACUGCUAAUACCGGAUGAUGACUUCGGUCCAAAGAUUUAUCGCCCAGGGAUGAGCCCGCGUCGGUUUAGCUGGUUGGUGAGGUAAGAGCUCAUCAAGGCGACGAUCCGUAGCUGGUCUGAGAGGAUGAUCAGCCACACUGGGACUGAGACACGGCCCAGACUCCUACGGGAGGUAGCAGUGAGGAAUAUUGGACAAUGGGCGAAGGCCUGAUCCAGCAAUGCCGGGUGAGUGAUGAAGGCGUUAGGGAAGUAAAGCUCUUUUACCCGGGAUGAUAAUGACGGUACCGGGAGAAUAAGCCCCGGCUAACUCCGUG
RNAcentral lists this ribosomal RNA (433 nucleotides) under uncultured bacterium. RNAcentral's name for it is "partial 16S ribosomal RNA". It matches the Rfam family "Bacterial small subunit ribosomal RNA", at positions 29 to 507 of the family's 1533-position model. The record is from RNAcentral.